CUCAGUCCCCGCAGACAUCCCCACAAACUAAGGACUGGAGUACAACGUCGUGCUGUGUGUGUCUGAAUUACAGGGGAUGAACUGCAGUGCCUCCCAACCUAAGGGCACAGCAGGUUUUCCAAAUACUUAUAUUUAAGAAAUCUUAAGUUGUUAUAUAUUUUUUCCCGUGUUCUAAAAUUGACCAUGAAAACCAUCACUUGCAGUCAGAAAGGUGAAUUUAUGUUGGGCUGCUCCGCCACUUUGUUUUAGAUGAGGAAGACAUUCCUUUAAAAUACCUGAAGAAAACGCAUGUUCCUUAAAGGAGGAGCAGAAGAAAUAAAUCCCCAUAAAACCAUCUGCUGUCCUGCCUACAUAGAGAAACAGUUACCUGAUGAGUUGUAUUACUGAAUUCCAAACUGAAAAGGGAAAACAAAAUGCAAAUUAAAAAAUCCCCACCACAACUGAGUCUUCGCUAACAUAUGAAGAAACAAGAGGCCAGCCAGACAAGACCCCUGCAAAUAAGGGAAGAGUAAAAGCUGUAGUACUUGCAUUACUGAGUACAUGAAGACCUUUUUGCACAGCCGAGUAAGUAUUGUAAUAAAACAUAACAUUAAAAACGAUAUUAAAAAAACACUUGGAACUGAAAAAACGUGAUAAUGAAGCAGAAUAAAGAUCUUACCCGUGGGAACUAAAAA
Long non-coding RNA from Tyto alba (common barn owl), 674 nucleotides. RefSeq lists it as uncharacterized. NCBI's taxonomy places the organism in Eukaryota, Metazoa, Chordata, Aves, Strigiformes, Tytonidae. The transcript has 2 exons. The record is from RefSeq and is a predicted model, not a curated record.